RNAcentral lists this ribosomal RNA (588 nucleotides) under uncultured archaeon. RNAcentral describes it as "bacterial SSU rRNA". It matches the Rfam family "Archaeal small subunit ribosomal RNA", at positions 1 to 596 of the family's 1478-position model. The record is from RNAcentral.
UUCCGGUUGAUCCUGCCGGACCUGACUGCUAUCUGAUUGGUACUAAGCCAUGCGAGUCGUUGUAGCAAUACAAGGCGGACUGCUCAGUAACACGUAGUUAACUUAACCUAUGGAUGGGCAUAACCUCGGGAAACUGAGAAUAAUACCCAAUGGACCACAGUGCCUGGAAUGGCCUGUGGUUGAAAUGAUUUAUCGCCGUAGGAUAGGACUGCGGCCUAUCAGCUUGUUGGUGAGGUAAUGGCCCACCAAGGCUAUAACAGGUACGGGCUCUGAGAGGAGGGGCCCGGAGAUGGGUACUGAGACACGGACCCAGGCCCUAUGGGGCGCAGCAGGCGAGAAACCUUUGCAAUGUGCGAAAGCACGACAAGGUUAAUCCGAGUGUCUCCUGCUAAAGGAGUCUUUUGUCAGUUGUAGAAUCACUGGUGAAUAAGGGGUGGGCAAGUUCUGGUGUCAGCCGCCGCGGUAAAACCAGCACCUCGAGUGGUCAGGAGGUUUAUUGGGCCUAAAGCAUCCGUAGCCGGUUGCAUAAGUUUUCGGUUAAAUCUAUGCGCUUAACGUAUAGGCCGNCGAAUAUACUGUGCAGCUAGG